RNAcentral lists this ribosomal RNA (497 nucleotides) under uncultured bacterium. Its description in RNAcentral is "bacterial SSU rRNA". It matches the Rfam family "Bacterial small subunit ribosomal RNA", at positions 109 to 653 of the family's 1533-position model. The record is from RNAcentral.
AGUAACACGUGACUAAUCUACCCUCGAGUGGGGAAUACUGAGAGAAAUCUCAGCUAAUACCGCAUAACACUUACGAGUCAAAGCAGCAAUGCGCUUGGGGAGGAGGUCGCGGCCGAUUAGCUAGUUGGCGGGGUAAUGGCCCACCAAGGCGAUGAUCGGUAUCCGGGCCUGAAAGGGCGCACGGACACACUGAACUGAAACACGGUCCAGACUCCUACGGGAGGCACAGUGGGGAAUUUUGCGCAAUGGGGGAAACCCUGACGCAGAACGCCGCGUGGAGGAUGAAAUAUCUUGGUAUGUAAACUUCCUUUCGAUGGGGAAGAUUAUGACGGUACCCAUAGAAGAAGCCCCGGCUUAAUUUCGUGCCAGCAGCGGGUAAUACGAGGGGGGCAAGCGUUGUCGGAUUAUUGGGCGUAAGGGGUGCGUAGGGGUUUGAUAAGUCUGGUGUGAAUCUAAGGGGUUCAACCAUAUUGAUAAAAUGUCGGUUGAUUAUGGGG